ACUCCUACGGGAGGCAGCAGUGGGGAAUUUUGGACAAUGGGGGCAACCCUGAUCCAGCCAUGCCGCGUGCAGGAUGAAGGCCUUCGGGUUGUAAACUGCUUUUGUACGGAACGAAAAGACUCUGGUUAAUACCUGGGGUCCAUGACGGUACCGUAAGAAUAAGCACCGGCUAACUUCGUGCCAGCAGCCGCGGUAAU
Molecule: ribosomal RNA, 197 nt
Filed under: uncultured bacterium
Lineage: Bacteria
Description: partial 16S ribosomal RNA
Rfam family: Bacterial small subunit ribosomal RNA
Source: RNAcentral